This 119-nucleotide ribosomal RNA is filed under the name Pteropus alecto (black flying fox). Lineage: Eukaryota; Metazoa; Chordata; Mammalia; Chiroptera; Pteropodidae. The record is from RNAcentral.
GUCUAUGGCCAUACCACCCUGAAAAAGCACGAUCUCAUCUGAUCUCGGAAGCUAAGCACGGUUGGGCCUGGUUAGUACUUGGAUGGGAGACCACCUAGGAAGACCAGGUGCUGUAGGCG